AUUUCCCUGCCCUGUUGGUGAUCGACGGGAUGUUUGUUGAGCCAACAUCAUUGAACCGGGGACUUCCUCUCCCCGUCGCCGGGAAGGCGCCACGGCGCCGUCCCAAGCGGCGUGGACGAAAUCCCCACCUGGCUUCCAGAGGUUCAAUGGACCCCGGAGACACGGCAUGGGCGGGGGUUCA
RNAcentral lists this non-coding RNA (181 nucleotides) under Dissulfurirhabdus thermomarina. RNAcentral's name for it is "6S / SsrS RNA". It matches the Rfam family "6S / SsrS RNA". From Rfam's summary of the family: E. coli 6S RNA was the first non coding RNA to be sequenced, but its function was unknown until recently. It consists of 184 nucleotides that fold into an extended hairpin structure with a large single-stranded internal bulge. The 6S RNA specifically associates with RNA polymerase holoenzyme containing the sigma70 specificity factor. The record is from Rfam by way of RNAcentral. Lineage: Bacteria; Pseudomonadati; Thermodesulfobacteriota; Dissulfuribacteria; Dissulfuribacterales; Dissulfuribacteraceae.